GAUGAACGCUGGCGGCGUGCCUAAUACAUGCAAGUCGAGCGAACGGACGAGAAGCUUGCUUCUCUGAUGUUAGCGGCGGACGGGUGAGUAACACGUGGAUAACCUACCUAUAAGACUGGGAUAACUUCGGGAAACCGGAGCUAAUACCGGAUAAUAUAUUGAACCGCAUGGUUCAAUAGUGAAAGACGGUUUUGCUGUCACUUAUAGAUGGAUCCGCGCCGCAUUAGCUAGUUGGUAAGGUAACGACUUACCAAGGCAACGAUGCGUAGCCGACCUGAGAGGGUGAUCGGCCACACUGGAACUGAGACACGGUCCAGACUCCUACGGGAGGCAGCAGUAGGGAAUCUUCCGCAAUGGGCGAAAGCCUGACGGAGCAACGCCGCGUGAGUGAUGAAGGUCUUCGGAUCGUAAAACUCUGUUAUUAGGGAAGAACAAAUGUGUAAGUAACUAUGCACGUCUUGACGGUACCUAAUCAGAAAGCCACGGCUAACUACGUG
Molecule: ribosomal RNA, 497 nt
Filed under: uncultured bacterium
Lineage: Bacteria
Description: partial 16S ribosomal RNA
Rfam family: Bacterial small subunit ribosomal RNA
Source: RNAcentral